Molecule: long non-coding RNA, 271 nt
Filed under: Elaeis guineensis (African oil palm)
Lineage: Eukaryota; Viridiplantae; Streptophyta; Magnoliopsida; Arecales; Arecaceae
Description: long non-coding RNA (EGUI_LNC046190)
Source: RNAcentral
GGGUUCCUCUCUAUCUUAUUUGGGCUGAAUUCCAAAUCAUCCAAGUUAGCUUCCUUCCAUCGUGUUCUUUAGCAUUAUACUCAUAAUGACUGAAGUGGCUCAAUCAAUUAUGGUCAAGCUUGAUGGGACCAAUUACAACCAAUGGUCCUUCAUGAUGAAGAUUUUUCUAAAAAGAUGGGGACUUUGGAAGUAUGUUACUGGUGACAUUCCAAGUCCAAUAGAACCUAACGACUCUUUUGCUCAAUGAAAAAUCGAUAACAACAAGAUCAUG